GAUGAAGAACGUAGCGAAAUGCGAUACGUAAUGUGAAUUGCAGAAUUCAGUGAAUCAUCGAGUCUUUGAACGCACAUUGCGCCCCCUGGUAUUCCGGGGGGCAUGCCUGUCCGAGCGUCAUUGCUGCCCUCAAGCACGGCUUGUGUGUUGGGCCUCCGUCCUCCUCCCGGGGGACGGGCCCGAAAGGCAGCGGCGGCACCGCGUCCGGUCCUCGAGCGUAUGGGGCUUCGUCACCCGCUCUUGUAGGCCCGGCCGGCGCUUGCCGACACAUCAAUCUUUUUGCCAGGUUGACCUCGGAUCAGGUAGGGAUACCCGCUGAACUUAAGCAUAUCAAUAAGCGGAGGA
RNAcentral lists this unclassified non-coding RNA (345 nucleotides) under soil metagenome. Its description in RNAcentral is "partial contains 5.8S ribosomal RNA, internal transcribed spacer 2, and large subunit ribosomal RNA". The stretch from base 1 to 120 matches the Rfam family "5.8S ribosomal RNA", at positions 35 to 154 of the family's 154-position model. The record is from RNAcentral.